This is a non-coding RNA of Acanthosepion pharaonis, 113 nucleotides long. Lineage: Eukaryota; Metazoa; Mollusca; Cephalopoda; Sepiida; Sepiidae. The record is from the annotation of a GenBank genome assembly.
UAUGCUCAUAUCACAUCGAAACACCGGUUCUCUGAUGAUCACCGAAGUUAAGCAACGCCAAACCUGGUCAGUACUUAGAUGGGUGAACGCUUGGAAAUAUCAGAUGCUGUAAG